AGGCCGUCGAGUCUGUGGGGGUAGACGCGAAACCAAGUGAUCUACACUUGUCCAGGUUGAAGUCCCGGUAACACGGGAUGGAGGACCGAACCAAUAAGCGUUGAAAAGCUUCUGGAUGAGAUGAGUGUAGGAGUGAAAGGCCAAUCAAACUUGGAGAUAGCUCGUACUCCCCGAAAGGCAUUUAGGUGCCGCGUCGGAUGUUCAGCGUGAGAGGUAGAGCGACCGAUAGGACAAGAGGGCUUCACCGCCUAUCGAGUCCUGACGAACUCCGAAUGCUCACGCUCCGCAGUCCGGCAGUAAGGGGACGGGUGCUAAGGUCCGUUCCCGAGAGGAGAAGAAUCCAGACCGCCGUCUAAGGUCCCGGAAUUCUGUCUAAGUUAGUCUAACGAAGUGGGGUCUCAGUGACAGCCAGGAUGUUGGCUUGGAAGCAGCCAUUCAUUCAAAGAGUGCGUAACAGCUCACUGGUCGAGAGUCCCUGCAUGGAUAAUAAUCGGGUAUAAGACAGAUACCGAAGGCGCGGGAUAGCAUAUUGAAAAAGUAUCGGUAGGGGAGCAUUCCAUAUGCGUCGAAUGGUGCGGGUAACUGAUCCUGGAGUAUAUGGAAAAGCAAAUGUAGGUAUAAGUAACGAUAAGGAGGGUAAGAUUCCCUCCCGCCGCAAGACUAAGGUUUCCCGGGCAAUGUCAAUCAUCCCGGGGUCAGUCGGGUCCUAAGUCUCAGCCGAACGGCGAGGGCGAUGGCAGACACGGUCAACAUUCCGUGACUACCUUUAGGAGCGAUGCGGAGACGGAGCAGUGACACUUCCGCGAGCCGACGGAAUGGCUCGUUGAAGAGUGUAGACGUUGAUCACGGCAGGCAAAUCCGCCGUGAGAGUCGAACUUGAAAGUACAGGGUCCUCUUCGGAGGAACCUGAUAGCGAGGGUAAGCAUACUCCCGA
RNAcentral lists this ribosomal RNA (934 nucleotides) under Leyella stercorea. RNAcentral's name for it is "partial 23S ribosomal RNA". It matches the Rfam family "Bacterial large subunit ribosomal RNA", at positions 689 to 1611 of the family's 2925-position model. The record is from RNAcentral. Lineage: Bacteria; Pseudomonadati; Bacteroidota; Bacteroidia; Bacteroidales; Prevotellaceae.